This 2816-nucleotide ribosomal RNA is filed under the name human gut metagenome. RNAcentral describes it as "bacterial LSU rRNA". It matches the Rfam family "Bacterial large subunit ribosomal RNA". The record is from RNAcentral.
AAAAGAGCGUAGAGUGAAUGCCUUGGCAUUGGGAGCCGACGAAGGACGUGGUUAACUGCGAAAAGCUACGGGGAGUCGUAAGCAGACAUUGAUCCGUAGAUGUCCGAAUGGAGCAAUCCGCAUGGAGUUAGUCUAUGCAUCCAUAAGUGAAUUCAUAGCUUAUGGAGGGGAACCGCCUGAACUGAAACAUCUAAGUAGGGCGAGGAAGAGAAAUCAAACGAGAUUUCGUAAGUAGUGGCGAGCGAACGCGAAAGAGGCUAAACCAAGAGAAGAAAUUCUUUUGGGGUUACGGACUGCGAUAUGUAUCUGAGGACUUAGCAGAAUGGUAUGGGAAAGCCAACCAGAGAAUGUGAUAGUCAUGUAUGCGAAAAGGAAUCAGAGCUAGCAGGAUCCAAAGUACCGCGGGACACGAGGAAUCCCGUGGGAAGUCGGGGGGACCACCCUCCAAGCCUAAAUACUACCCAAUGACCGAUAGCGAAAAGUACUGUGAAGGAACGGUGAAAAGAACCCCGGGAGGGGAGUGAAAAGAACCUGAAACUCUAUGCUUACAAGCACAUAGAGCACGUCAAAGUGUGAUAUGGUACCUUUUGUAGAAUGGUCCGGCGAGUUAUUGUAUGCAGCAAGGUUAAGGUCUUCAGGACUGAAGCCGAAGCGAGAGCGAGUCUGACAAGGGCGAUAAGUUGCAUGCAAUAGACCCGAAACCGGGUGACCUAGCCAUGUUCAGGUUGAAGUGGAGGUAAAGCUCCAUGGAGGACCGAACCGACCUCCGUUGAAAAGGCGGCGGAUGAAAUGUGGCUAGCGGAGAAAUUCCAAUCGAACCCGGAAAUAGCUGGUUCUCCCCGAAAUAGCUUUAGGGCUAGCGUUGUAUUAGAUUUCUGGGGGUAAAGCACUGAAUAGGCUAGGGGCCGAGAGGUUACUGAACCUUAUCAAACUAAGAAUACCAGAAAAUUGAUGUACAGCAGUCAGACUAUGUGAGAUAAGUCUCAUAGUCAAAAGGGAAACAGCCCAGACCCACAGCUAAGGUCCCAAAACAGAUUUAAGUGGAAAAGGAUGUGGGAUUGCCCAGACAACCAGGAUGUUGGCUUAGAAGCAGCCACACAUUAAAAGAGUGCGUAAUAGCUCACUGGUCGAGUGAUCCUGCGCCGAAAAUUCAACGGGGCUAAAAUUUGUACCGAAGCUUGGGCUUGAUACAUUCGUAUCAGGGGUAGGGGAGCGUCAUGUAUGAGGUGAAGUCGUAGCGAAAGCGGCGGUGGAUUGUACAUGAGAGAGAAUGCCGGAAUGAGUAGCGAGAAUUAUGUGAGAAUCAUAAUGGCCGAAAAUCUAAGGUUUCCUGAGGAAGGUUCGUCCGCUCAGGGUAAGCCGGGAGCUAAGGUGAGGCGGAAACGCGUAGCCGAUGCACAUACGGUAGAGAUUCCGUAGCCUCCGAAAAGUAAAGCACAGGGACGCUUCAGAAGUGUUACGCCGGGCGAUGGUUGCCCCGGUUGUAAAGGACACAAUUGAGUGGAAGGUAACAUGGAUGGAGACAAGAAAAGCUGUGUGUAUCUGGAAGGAGCCCGUACCGCAAACCGACACAGGUAGAUAGGAAGAAGAUUCUAAGGCCAGCGGGAGAAGGGUUGUUAAGGAACUCGGCAAGUUGACCCCGUAACUUCGGGAGAAGGGGUGCUUACGAAGGUAAGCCGCAGAGAAUAGGCCCAAGCGACUGUUUAGCAAAAACACAGCUCUAUGCUAAAUCGAAAGAUGACGUAUAUGGGGUGACACCUGCCCGGUGCUGGAAGGUUAAGAGGAGAUGUGAGAGCAUUGAAUUGAAGCCCCAGUAAACGGCGGCCGUAACUAUAACGGUCCUAAGGUAGCGAAAUUCCUUGUCAGGUAAGUUCUGACCCGCACGAAUGGCGUAAUGAUUUGGGCACUGUCUCAACAGCCCGCCCGGCGAAAUUGUAGUACUGGUGAAGAUGCCAGUUACCCGCAACUAGACGGAAAGACCCCAUGGAGCUUUACUGCAGCUUAAUACUGAAAUUCGGUAGUACAUGUACAGGAUAGGUGGGAGACUGAGAAAUACAGGCGUCAGCUUGUAUGGAGUCGCUGUUGGGAUACCACUCUUGUACUGCUGGGUUUCUAACCUGCGGCCGUGAAUCCGGUCGGGGGACACUGUUAGGCGGGCAGUUUGACUGGGGCGGUCGCCUCCAAAAGAGUAACGGAGGCGCUCAAAGGUUGGCUCAGCACGGACGGAAAUCGUGCAAUGAGUGUAAACGUAUAAGCCAGCCUAACUGCGAGACCGACGGGUCGAGCAGUAACGAAAGUUGGAGUUAGUGAUCCGGUGGUAUGUGAGUGGAAAUGCCAUCGCUCAACGGAUAAAAGCUACCCUGGGGAUAACAGGCUGAUCUCCCCCAAGCGUCCACAGCGACGGGGAGGUUUGGCACCUCGAUGUCGGCUCGUCACAUCCUGGGGCUGUAUUCGGUCCCAAGGGUUCGGCUGUUCGCCGAUUAAAGUGGCACGCGAGCUGGGUUCAGAACGUCGUGAGACAGUUCGGUCCCUAUCUGUUGCGGGCGUAAGAGAUUUGAAGGGAGCUGUCCUUAGUACGAGAGGACCGGGAUGGACGUACCUCUGGUGCACCAGUUGUCCUGCCAAGGGCAUAGCUGGGUAGCUAUGUACGGACGAGAUAAACGCUGAAAGCAUCUAAGCGUGAAACUCCCCCUAAGAUGAGAUCUCUCAUCCUUCAAGGAGUAAGGACCCAGAAAGACGAUCUGGUUGAUAGGCCGAAGGUGGAAGCGCAGUAAUGUGUGCAGCUGAUCGGUACUAAUAGUCCGAGGGCUUGACCU